This 253-nucleotide ribosomal RNA is filed under the name uncultured bacterium. RNAcentral's name for it is "partial 16S ribosomal RNA". It matches the Rfam family "Bacterial small subunit ribosomal RNA", at positions 524 to 776 of the family's 1533-position model. The record is from RNAcentral.
UACGGAGGGUGCGAGCGUUAAUCGGAAUUACUGGGCGUAAAGCGUGCGUAGGUGGUUGAUUAAGUUAUCUGUGAAAUCCCUGGGCUUAACCUGGGCAGGUCAGAUGAUACUGAUUAACUCGAGUAUGGGAGAGGGUAGUGGAAUUUCCGGUGUAGCGGUGAAAUGCGUAGAGAUCGGAAGGAACACCAGUGGCGAAGGCGGCUACCUGGCCUAAUACUGACACUGAGGCACGAAAGCGUGGGGAGCAAACAGG